CUACGUGCCAGCAGCCGCGGUAAUACGUAGGGCGCGAGCGUUGUCCGGAAUUAUUGGGCGUAAAGAGCUUGUAGGCGGUUUGUCGCGUCUGCUGUGAAAGGCCGGAGCUUAACUCCGUGUAUUGCAGUGGGUACGGGCAGACUAGAGUGCAGUAGGGGAGACUGGAAUUCCUGGUGUAGCGGUGGAAUGCGCAGAUAUCAGGAGGAACACCGAUGGCGAAGGCAGGUCUCUGGGCUGUAACUGACGUUGAGGCACGAAAGUGUGGGGAGCAAACAGGAUUAGAUACCCUGGUAGUCCACACCGUAAACGAUGGAUACUAGGUGUUGGCAAUGAAUAAUUGUCGGUGCCGGCGCUAACGCAAUAAGUAUCCCACCUGGGGAGUACGACCGCAAGGUUGAAACUCAAAGGAAUUGACGGGGGCCCGCACAAGCAGUGGAGUAUGUGGUUUAAUUCGAAGCUACGCGAAGAACCUUACCAAGGCU
RNAcentral lists this ribosomal RNA (482 nucleotides) under uncultured bacterium. Its description in RNAcentral is "bacterial SSU rRNA". It matches the Rfam family "Bacterial small subunit ribosomal RNA", at positions 501 to 981 of the family's 1533-position model. The record is from RNAcentral.